This 64-nucleotide transfer RNA is filed under the name Epeorus sp. LA03FY06. RNAcentral's name for it is "tRNA-Phe". RNAcentral also lists the same sequence under 1 other name. The record is from RNAcentral. Lineage: Eukaryota; Metazoa; Arthropoda; Insecta; Ephemeroptera; Heptageniidae.
GUUUGAAUAGCUUAUACAGAGCAUAACAUUGAAGAUGUUAGGGAGAUUUUAGAAUCUUUGAACA